This is a long non-coding RNA of Musa acuminata AAA Group (dessert banana), 2966 nucleotides long. RefSeq lists it as uncharacterized. NCBI's taxonomy places the organism in Eukaryota, Viridiplantae, Streptophyta, Magnoliopsida, Zingiberales, Musaceae. The transcript has 5 exons. The record is from RefSeq and is a predicted model, not a curated record.
UUUAUAAGAUAUCCAUGCAAUCUCUUCUCAUUUCAAUUGAUUGGGUCGAAAAAUCAAUCUAGAAUUUGUUGCAUCACUCGAUCCAGUUAUCUUGAAAAUUGUAACUAAUAAAGACUUUUUAUUUAGCAUAUUAAAAGCUGCUUGUGGUUCUAAUUUUCGUUGUUUUUUUUUUCCCACUUUUUCUUUGUUAAAUCGAGUUUGGCAUCUCAACUUGUGCUCAAUUAAUACAAAAGUUUAUGUAUUCUAUGAACCUCUUGAUACAAACAUCUGAUUCUUGGUUUUUCAGUGGCAUCAGUUGCAACAAGUCCUUUUCUGAGGCAAACAGUUGUGCCAAUUUCUUGUAGAGCACCCAUUUUACUUGCAAGUUCUGUUUCUUGGUUCUUACAAUAUAUUGCAAAAGCAAUUUUCUGAUCAUGAUAGAGUAGUUGACCAAACGAACUUCUGGGUGCUUCAUAAUUUAGAGAAAAAAGUCUUUUGUUCCCCAUAUGGUAAGUUUUGCUUCUAGUUUGUGCAGUAGAUUGCAACGGCAAUUCUUCUGAUUGCUUGGUAAUUUAGAGAAAGAAACCUUUUGUCCCUCGUGCAUCAUGGUCAAAAGCCAGUUCUUGGUACUUUGAACAACAGAGACCUGGCAAAUCAACCUGUUGUGGUACUUGGUUGAUGUGAGCUCUCAUAAUUAAACCAAUCACUCUAUUUUGAUGGUGAUAAUAUGGAGAUGAUUUUCUCUGGAUGUGCUUGAAGGUUCUGUUUUUAACAAAUUCAGUAUCUGAAAUAGAAUACAAUCACCAGAAUCUUGUAUUGAAUUAUUGAUUGAGCCUCUUAAAAGUUUAGUUCUUUACUAGGAACUCGGCUCACGCUAUUUUUUGUAACUUUUGCAGCUAUAGCUGUCUCAAGGGAUCACAAGCCUGACCAAACAGAUGAGAGAGCAAAGGAUUGAGGAUGCUGGGGGCUUUGUAAUGUGGGCUGGGACAUGGCGUGUCGGUGGUGUUCUUGCCGUUUCUCGUGCAUUUGGUGAUAGGCACCUGAAACAGUUUGUUGUCGCAGAUCCAGAAAUUCAUGUGGAAGCGGUUGAUGGAUCUCUCGAAUUCCUCAUCCUUGCAAGUGACUGAUUGUGGGAUGUUGUCACGAACGAAUGAGGAGGCGGUGGUAGCUAUUGUCAAACCCCUACAAGAUCCAGAACAAGCAGCAAAGAAACUGUUACAGGAGGCCUAUCAAAGGGGUAGUUCUGACAACAUCACUUGGUGUCGUGGUACAGUUUCUUGGCUAGCCUUGAUAACACAACCGAGCAGCAAUAGGUACAAAUUGUCUGCUUGAUCUUUGUUAUCGCUUUGUUAUCUGUAAUGGUUUAGUGGAGUCUGUAUCAUGCUGUUUUCACUUUUGUUAGAAUAAUCAAUAAGAUUGUUUGGUUAGAGUGCCUAAAUUUCUUCCUGAAUAGUCGUUUAUAUAUACAUACCAUUUUUACCAUUUGGAAUUUACUCCUGCAAUUAAAGUAGCUCAAGUUUGGUAAUUUAAGCCUCAAGGAACAAUUUUGAUAUGCCCCCUAUGAAAGCAAAAUGAGACCCAUGAAAGAAGGUCUCUUAUUGAGUUUGUAUUAUAAAUGUUGGCAGGAAGAUUAGUUUCACAUGGAUACAGAAUUGAAGUGUCUAAUGAUACAUAGUGGAGUUUGAUUGUGAUAGUUUCCAUGGUAACUUUGACCAUUUUGACGUAGAUUCAAAGGUAAAGCCGUAUAACCAUUCUUCGUGAUUGAUCCAUCAAAGGGUCAUGCCCAUGUCUUAUCUAGCGUGGCAGAUGCGCGGAUGUGUUUGAAUAGAAUAGAAUAGAAUAGAAUCUAACCUAUUAAUUUGUUGUUUGCGCCCAUUAACAAAAAUUAUAGGUCCCAUGGCAUCCAAGAAGGAUAGGAACAUCGAAGUUACUUUUUAUUAACCCUACACAGUUUGCCUCGUGCAAAAGAGUCUACCUUAGCCUUCAUAUUCUCCUCGUCUGUUGUCGACACAACCUUUCUUGACUCGGACACAAAAAAAAGGAAGAGAAAAAUAAACCAAAAGAAGGCUAAUGGAGUUGGGGACAACGACCGAUGGAAUGAACAAGUUGAUCGACCCACUGCCGACGACGCUUUCAGCAGAGCAGCGAGAACAGAAAAAAGGAGACGAAAAGUUGGUUCACCGGGGAAAUGGAGGAGGGUGCCGAAAGCGGCGUUAAGACGUGGAUCCUGGCAUUUCUCUUUUGUCGAGGACAGCCGUAGAGAUGCCACAACGUCGAAGCUGCUGCCUCGCUCCUCCAAUUUACUCCUUCGCCCUUCCCUCUCCCUCCAAAUUUGCUGCUCAGCUUCUUCUCCUCUUCUCCUCCACCACAAGGAUUCCUCUCCGAGCCGACCACCUUGUGAGGUGUGCUUCUCUUUGCUCCUCUCAAGGGAAUCCUGUGGCCUCCACUGCCUUCGUCUUCAGUUCUUGAUCUCCGCAGCCAUGGGCUCCGAGGCGGUCGUCGUCGUCGUAGGUGAAUUGCCUCUGCUUCCGCCCAUAAAGACUGCGCCGACGCGGGACAAGCCCGUGGAAGGCCGUCCCGAUGCUGCCGAAACCGAAGAGGAAGAGUGCGUCACACCAAAAGGCGGAAGAGACCGUUCUCAAGCCCGUCCUUGUUUGUACGCCGGCGAAGAGAAAGCCGAAGCCGGCGAAGAGGGUACCGCCGGCUCCUUCCAUGGAAUUCCACGCCGUUACUCCCGAUCUUACCUCGGUCUUCCUUCCUCUCCCUCCCAAGAAGAGAAUUCGUGUAGUUUGAUCUGAAGUUUCUUCACCAAUCUCCUGUAACUCCUUCUGUUCCCCUUCUGUUUUCCCGUGUGCCUGGUAAAAGAUUUUAUUUCCUUUUAUUGUUUUCUUUUCUUCCUUAGACGAAACAAAGACCAUCAAGCACUUUGUGUAACAUGAGGAGAACUGUCCUCCACAUCAUGCUGCAAUGUGUACAUAUAUCGGACA